GAUGAACGCUGGCGGCGUGCCUAAUACAUGCAAGUCGAGCGAACGGACGAGAAGCUUGCUUCUCUGAUGUUAGCGGCGGACGGGUGAGUAACACGUGGAUAACCUACCUAUAAGACUGGGAUAACUUCGGGAAACCGGAGCUAAUACCGGAUGAUAUUUUGAACCGCAUGGUUCAAAAGUGAAAGACGGUCUUGCUGUCACUUAUAGAUGGAUCCGCGCUGCAUUAGCUAGAUGGUAAGGUAACGGCUUACCAAGGCAACGAUGCAUAGCCGACCUGAGAGGGUGAUCGGCCACACUGGAACUGAGACACGGUCCAGACUCCUACGGGAGGCAGCAGUAGGGAAUCUUCCGCAAUGGGCGAAAGCCUGACGGAGCAACGCCGCGUGAGUGAUGAAGGUCUUCGGAUCGUAAAACUCUGUUAUUAGGGAAGAACAUAUGUAUAAGUAACUGUGCACAUCUUGACGGUACCUAAUCAGAAAGCCACGGCUAACUACGUG
Molecule: ribosomal RNA, 497 nt
Filed under: uncultured bacterium
Lineage: Bacteria
Description: partial 16S ribosomal RNA
Rfam family: Bacterial small subunit ribosomal RNA
Source: RNAcentral